CCUACGGGAGGCAGCAGUGAGGAAUAUUGGUCAAUGGACGAGAGUCUGAACCAGCCAAGUAGCGUGAAGGAUGACUGCCCUAUGGGUUGUAAACUUCUUUUAUAUGGGAAUAAAACAGGGUAUGCAUACCCUCUUGUAUGUACCAUAUGAAUAAGGAUCGGCUAACUCCGUGCCAGCAGCCGCGGUAAUACGGAGGAUCCGAGCGUUAUCCGGAUUUAUUGGGUUUAAAGGGAGCGUAGGUGGAUUGUUAAGUCAGUUGUGAAAGUUUGCGGCUCAACCGUAAAAUUGCAGUUGAAACUGGCAGUCUUGAGUACAGUAGAGGUGGGCGGAAUUCGUGGUGUAGCGGUGAAAUGCUUAGAUAUCACGAAGAACUCCGAUUGCGAAGGCAGCUUACUGGACUGCAACUGACACUGAUGCUCGAAAGUGUGGGUAUCAAACAGGAUUAGAUACCCCGGUAGUC
This 460-nucleotide ribosomal RNA is filed under the name uncultured bacterium. Its description in RNAcentral is "partial 16S ribosomal RNA". It matches the Rfam family "Bacterial small subunit ribosomal RNA", at positions 338 to 795 of the family's 1533-position model. The record is from RNAcentral.